UACAAACGCUGGCGGCGCACAUAAGACAUGCAAGUCGAACGAAGCACCUUGAUUUGAUUCUUCGGAUGAAGAUCUUGGUGACUGAGUGGCGGACGGGUGAGUAACGCGUGGGUAACCUGCCUCAUACAGGGGGAUAACAGUUAGAAAUGACUGCUAAUACCGCAUAAGACCACAGCACCGCAUGGUGCAGGGGUAAAAACUCCGGUGAUAUGAGAUGGACCCGCGUCUGAUUAGGUAGUUGGUGGGGUAACGGCCUACCAAGCCGACGAUCAGUAGCCGACCUGAGAGGGUGACCGGCCACAUUGGGACUGAGACACGGCCCAA
This 324-nucleotide ribosomal RNA is filed under the name uncultured bacterium. Its description in RNAcentral is "bacterial SSU rRNA". It matches the Rfam family "Bacterial small subunit ribosomal RNA", at positions 29 to 334 of the family's 1533-position model. The record is from RNAcentral.